RNAcentral lists this ribosomal RNA (440 nucleotides) under uncultured bacterium. Its description in RNAcentral is "partial 16S ribosomal RNA". It matches the Rfam family "Bacterial small subunit ribosomal RNA", at positions 338 to 795 of the family's 1533-position model. The record is from RNAcentral.
CCUACGGGAGGCAGCAGUGGGGAAUAUUGCACAAUGGGGGAAACCCUGAUGCAGCGACGCCGCGUGAGUGAAGAAGUAUUUCGGUACGUAAAGCUCUAUCAGCAGGGAAGAAAAUGACGGUACCUGACUAAGAAGCCCCGGCUAACUACGUGCCAGCAGCCGCGGUAAUACGUAGGGGGCAAGCGUUAUCCGGAUUUACUGGGUGUAAAGGGAGCGUAGACGGCAGCGCAAGUCUGGAGUGAAAUCCCAUGGCUUAACCAUGGAACUGCUGUGGAAACUGUGCAGCUAGAGUGCAGGAGAGGUAAGCGGAAUUCCUAGUGUAGCGGUGAAAUGCGUAGAUAUUAGGAGGAACACCAGUGGCGAAGGCGGCUUACUGGACUGUAACUGACGUUGAGGCUCGAAAGCGUGGGGAGCAAACAGGAUUAGAUACCCGGGUAGUC